CCCACCGCCUUUUGCAGAGGCGGUGCAUGCGAAGCCCUAGCAUGGUUCCCGGCUGCAUUUUGCAGUUUAUCCCCUCCCAAACCGACCUUCCACACCUAUAUAAGGAGGGGGAGAGGGCCGCACAUUCAUCAUCAUUCAAUCCAUUCAAGCUUCAAGUCCACAAGAAUAAAGAGAGAUACAAGAGUAGUAGUAGAGAGGCGGAGCUUCCACUCAUAUCCUUAGCCUCUAGUUAGGAAUAG
Molecule: long non-coding RNA, 239 nt
Filed under: Sorghum bicolor (sorghum)
Lineage: Eukaryota; Viridiplantae; Streptophyta; Magnoliopsida; Poales; Poaceae
Description: long non-coding RNA (SBIC_LNC017496)
Source: RNAcentral